This 552-nucleotide ribosomal RNA is filed under the name Neomorgania eucalypti. RNAcentral's name for it is "partial 28S ribosomal RNA". Lineage: Eukaryota; Metazoa; Arthropoda; Insecta; Hemiptera; Diaspididae. The record is from RNAcentral.
AUCUGGGCGGCGGAAUUCAGGAUGGCGAGCGUGUCCUCGCGGCGCGUUGGCCGUUUGAUAUUUCCGUCGCCGAUCGCACUCAGACGUCGCGACCUGUUCGCGGUCGGUCCCUGCUACGGAGGAGCCGCGUUCGAGUUCGUUGUGGGCGCGUUUCGGCGCGUUUCACGGCGAAGGCGCGGAUCUCUGGCUGGCCGACGGACAGUACGUUCAACGGUGUCCGGUGUCGUCGUAUUCGUACGCGCGCGCAUCGGUACCGGUCGGCGACGAAUUCUUCGGACCUCUUUCCGACCCGUCUUGAAACACGGACCAAGGAGUCUAACAUGCGCGCGAGUCGCGGGGUGUCGAGCGUACUUCGGUGCGUUCGUUACGUUGCGAAACCCGUACAUGUCGAAGGCGUAAUGAAAGUGAAUGGGGAAGAUGGUGUUCCGAGUACACGUUCCGCGAUCGUCGGUAUCGCGGCCGGACACCCGCACUCCCGGGGCGUCUCAACGGCCCGUCGUCGAUGCGGACAGUGGUCUUUAACCGGGCGGCUGUCGGUCGGCGACGAACCGA